RNAcentral lists this ribosomal RNA (320 nucleotides) under uncultured eukaryote. Its description in RNAcentral is "partial 18S ribosomal RNA". It matches the Rfam family "Eukaryotic small subunit ribosomal RNA", at positions 1470 to 1796 of the family's 1831-position model. The record is from RNAcentral.
CCCCUAGAUGUUCUGGGCCGCACGCGCGCUACACUGAACAGUUCAACAAGUCUUAACCUUGGCCGAUAGGUCUGGGUAAUCUUUGAACGCUGUUCGUGAUUGGGAUAGACCUUUGCAAUUAUGGGUCUUCAACGAGGAAUUCCUAGUAAACGCAAGUCAUCAGCUUGCAUUGAUUACGUCCCUGCCCUUUGUACACACCGCCCGUCGCACCUACCGAUUGAAUGGUCCGGUGAAAUCUCGGGACGGCGGCUUGGUCGCUUGCGUCCGACUGCUGAAACUUGAUUACACCAUAUCAUUUAGAGGAAGGUGAAGUCGUAACA